CCCCAGACUCCUACGGGAGGCAGCAGUGAGGAAUAUUGGUCAAUGGCCGAGAGGCUGAACCAGCCAAGCCGCGUGAAGGAAUAAGGCCCUACGGGUCGUAAACUUCUUUAGUCAGGGAACAAAGGGAGCCACGCGUGGCGCUGUGAGUGUACCUGAAGAAAAAGCAUCGGCUAACUCCGUGCCAGCAGCCGCGGUAAUACGGAGGAUGCGAGCGUUAUCCGGAUUUAUUGGGUUUAAAGGGUGCGUAGGCGGAAUGCCAAGUCAGCGGUAAAAUCGCGGGGCUCAACCUCGCUCCGCCGUUGAAACUGGCGUUCUUGAGUGGGCGAGAAGUAUGCGGAAUGCGUGGUGUAGCGGUGAAAUGCAUAGAUAUCACGCAGAACUCCGAUUGCGAAGGCAGCAUACCGGCGCCCAACUGACGCUGAAGCACGAAAGCGUGGGUAUCGAACAGGAUUAGAUACCCCAGUAU
RNAcentral lists this ribosomal RNA (466 nucleotides) under uncultured bacterium. RNAcentral describes it as "bacterial SSU rRNA". It matches the Rfam family "Bacterial small subunit ribosomal RNA", at positions 329 to 793 of the family's 1533-position model. The record is from RNAcentral.